UGGGGAAUAUUGCACAAUGGGCGAAAGCCUGAUGCAGCAACGCCGCGUGAGUGAUGAAGGCCUUCGGGUUGUAAAGCUCUGUCUUUUGGGACGAUAAUGACGGUACCAAAGGAGGAAGCCACGGCUAACUACGUGCCAGCAGCCGCGGUAAUACGUAGGUGGCAAGCGUUGUCCGGAUUUACUGGGCGUAAAGGAUGCGUAGGCGGAUUUUUAAGUGAGAUGUGAAAACCCUAAGCUUAACUUGGGGACUGCAUUUCAUACUGGAAAUCUAGAGUGCGGGAGAGGAGAAUGGAAUUCCUAGUGUAGCGGUGAAAUGCGUAGAGAUUAGGAAGAACACCAGUGGCGAAGGCGAUUCUCUGGACCGUAACUGACGCUGAGGCAUGAAAGCGUGGGUAGCAAACAGGAUUAGAUACCCUGGUAGUCCACGCCGUAAACGAUGAGUACUAGGUGUAGGAGGUAUCGACCCCUUCUGUGCCGCAGUUAACACAAUAAGUACUCCGCCUGGGAAGUACGAUCGCAAGAUUAAAAACUCAAAUGAAUUGACGGGGGUCAUAGCUGUUUUUCCU
Molecule: ribosomal RNA, 566 nt
Filed under: uncultured bacterium
Lineage: Bacteria
Description: partial 16S ribosomal RNA
Rfam family: Bacterial small subunit ribosomal RNA
Source: RNAcentral